RNAcentral lists this ribosomal RNA (232 nucleotides) under uncultured bacterium. Its description in RNAcentral is "partial 16S ribosomal RNA". It matches the Rfam family "Bacterial small subunit ribosomal RNA", at positions 118 to 351 of the family's 1533-position model. The record is from RNAcentral.
UGAGUAACCUGCCCCUGGCUUUGGGAUAACCAUCGGAAACGGUGGCUAAUACCGAAUAUUCACUUUGGGUUGCAUGACCUUUUGUGGAAAGUUUUUCGGCUGGGGAUGGGCUCGCGGCCUAUCAGCUUGUUGGUGGGGUAAAGGCCUACCAAGGCGACGACGGGUAGCCGGCCUGAGAGGGCGACCGGCCACACUGGGACUGAGACACGGCCCAGACUCCUACGGGAGGCAG